This 507-nucleotide ribosomal RNA is filed under the name uncultured Actinomycetes bacterium. Its description in RNAcentral is "bacterial SSU rRNA". It matches the Rfam family "Bacterial small subunit ribosomal RNA", at positions 89 to 611 of the family's 1533-position model. Lineage: Bacteria; Bacillati; Actinomycetota; Actinomycetes. The record is from RNAcentral.
GGAUUAGCGGCGAACGGGUGAGGAACACGUGAAGAAUCUGCCUUCAACUCUGGGAUAACUCCGGGAAACCGGGGCUAAUACCGGAUAUGAGCCUUGAUCGCAUGAUCGGGGCUGGAAAGUUUUUCGGUUGAAGAUGACUUCGCGGCCUAUCAGCUUGUUGGUGAGGUAAUGGCUCACCAAGGCGACGACGGGUAGCCGGCCUGAGAGGGCGACCGGCCACACUGGGACUGAGACACGGCCCAGACUCCUACGGGAGGCAGCAGUGGGGAAUAUUGGGCAAUGGACGAAAGUCUGACCCAGCGACGCCGCGUGCGGGAUGAAGGCCUUCGGGUUGUAAACCGCUUUCAGCAGGGAAUAAGCGCAAGUGAAGGUACCUGCAGAAGAAGCACCGGCUAACUAUGUGCCAGCAGCCGCGGUAAUACAUAGGGUGCAAGCGUUGUCCGGAAUUAUUGGGCGUAAAGAGCUCGUAGGUGGUUUGUUACGUCGGUUGUGAAAUUCAGGGGCUCA